Non-coding RNA from Pelmatolapia mariae (spotted tilapia), 312 nucleotides. The record is from the annotation of a RefSeq genome assembly. NCBI's taxonomy places the organism in Eukaryota, Metazoa, Chordata, Actinopteri, Cichliformes, Cichlidae.
AUGGUCAGACCCUCAGUCUCUUUGCUUCAACCCUCCUCUGAGAAGCUCUCUGGAGGCCCAGUCACACUGGCCUGCCUGCUGACCGGCUACUCUCCUCAGGGAGCUGAAGUGAGAUGGGAAGUAGAUGGCACAGAGGUGACAGAGGGGGUCCUGAACAGCUUAGAAGAAGAGAAGAGUAGUCGCUACAGCAGCAGCAGCACCCUGAUGCUGAGCCAAGAGAACUGGAUGAACGCAGAGGUGUUCUCCUGCAGGGUGAACCAUCAUGACCACCGGCAGGCCAAGUCCUUCCACAAGAACCGGUGUGAGGGCUAG